This 407-nucleotide ribosomal RNA is filed under the name uncultured bacterium. RNAcentral describes it as "bacterial SSU rRNA". It matches the Rfam family "Bacterial small subunit ribosomal RNA", at positions 355 to 776 of the family's 1533-position model. The record is from RNAcentral.
UUAGGAAUUUUGCGCAAUGGACGAAAGUCUGACGCAGCAACGCCGCGUGAGUGAAGAAGGCCUUCGGGUUGUAAAGCUCUUUUAGUGGGGGCGAAACAAAUGACGGUACCCACAGAAAAAGCACCGGCUAACCCUGUGCCAGCAGCCGCGGUAAUACAGGGGGUGCAAGCGUUACUCGGAAUUAUUGGGCGUAAAGAGCGCGUAGGCGGCUCGGUAAGUUUGGUGUGAAAUCCCUGGACUCAAUUCAGGAAGUGCAUUGAAUACUGCCGGGCUAGAGUGUUGGAGAGGACAGCGGAAUUCCAGGUGUAGAGGUGAAAUUCGUAGAUAUCUGGAGGAACAACAGUAGCGAAGGCGGCUGUCUGGACAAUUACUGACGCUGAGGCGCGAAAGCGUGGGGAGCAAACAGG